RNAcentral lists this long non-coding RNA (1134 nucleotides) under Homo sapiens (human). RNAcentral describes it as "HSALNT0276183". Lineage: Eukaryota; Metazoa; Chordata; Mammalia; Primates; Hominidae. The record is from RNAcentral.
UCAUUAUUACAACAUUAGAAGUAGCUGUUUCCUGUGGAAUAGCCGGUUCAGUAAUUUGCUUUAUCUCAUGUGCAAGUGGUUUCUGCCUGGGCCAGUAAUAUAUUUUAAUAAGGCAAGUUUCCAGAUUUAUGAUGCCUACAUCAUGAAGGAACUUCUUUCCUGUUCACAUGUAAGUAUUUCUUCUUACUCUGUUACUUUAGUACUGAUGAAUAAGGGACCAUGUUCAGCGUUUCCAGAAUGAAAGUUAAACAGUAGAAAGGUGUUUAAAAUUGAAAAAUGCACGCCCGGGAUGGAUCCUAUUUCUUCUGCUUUGUUGUUUCCUGGUAAUAUUACCACGAUGUGUGUUGCUUCGUGUAAGCUUAGUUUAUUUCCAAAAGCUGAUACUUUCACUGCAAACAUCAAUGAAAUAAAAUUGCUAAUUUAGUUCAGUGAGAAGGGUGCACACGGGUUGCUUUGUACGAGGCCCGCCUAUCACUGUGCUCCACAAAUGUUAGCUAUUAUCACACAUCUUACAGUCAGAAAGUACAGUGUCAAUAUCUGCUUUUUGUUGUCUCCAUGAUAUUUGAGUGUCAGAAUUUCAGUUUUCAUCUGACUUUGGUUGAACUCUGGCUUUCAUACUCCUUAGCAAGCCUGUUGCGGUUCUUUCUGUUGAAAAGUGGCAGCAUGGUAGAUUCUACGUAGUCUUAGGAAUUCCCAGUGACACUCAUCUUUUACUUUAUUAGCAGAAAGUAGGGAUGUUUGAUAAAAUAUGAAAGAAAAAUAUAAGAUGAGGAGUGGGAUUGGAUCAACUCUCCCCUGUGGUUUUCUCUAUGACUCUAAGAGAUAGAAAAUCAAUAAAUAAAAUAGCUAAUUAAAAAAAAUUUCACUUCAUGGACCUAUUAGCUUUGAGUUUUUAAAACUCAGUGCAGAUUACAGAUGCUUUUAUUAGCUUACAAGUUGUGCCACAUAACUUGUGGGGCCCAGUGCAACGUGAAAACGCAUUAGGAUGACAAUGAUAUUUGUUUCCUUUAAAUUAACAUGCUUUGAAUUAAAUUCUGAAUCUGAUUCCAGGGGGCGAUUUGCACUACCACCUUUCACAACACGGUGUGUUCUCUGAGAAGGAGAUGCGGUUUUAUGCCACUGAAAUCAUUCUGG